UUUCCGUAGGUGAACCUGCGGAAGGAUCAGUAGAGAUUGCCGGCGCAAGCCGGUCCUACACCACACACACCCGUGAACCGUCGGGGACAGCGAAUUGGCCUCGUGCCUUAAUAGCGCCCGCACCUGGAGUCAGCGAACUGGCCUCGCGCCUUAAUAGCGUCCUUUACAAACUCUUAGAAACGUAACGAACGUAGUCUUAUUUUAACAAAUAAAACUUUCAACAACGGAUCUCUUGGCUCCC
Molecule: unclassified non-coding RNA, 241 nt
Filed under: plant metagenome
Description: partial contains small subunit ribosomal RNA, internal transcribed spacer 1, and 5.8S ribosomal RNA
Source: RNAcentral